GAAAGGUGGGGCCUGGGAGAGGCCAAGGGUGGGGGGGGGGCAGCAUGGGUUGGGGGGAGUAGGGAGGGCUGAAGGGCAGAAGCCGCAUGCUGGCCGGGGCUGGAAGCACGGCCCUGGAAGCUUCCAGGUGGCUUCUUCCUUCCUAGGUCAUGGCUGAGAGAGAGGCACAGGGGCCAGCUGGGGCAGGACAGGGGAGGAUGGAAAGCCCAGAAGUGUCCUUCUCUCGUCUCUGUCCCUGUGUCCGCUCUUCCCUACCCUCCCUCUCAGAAGCCCAGCCCCGGAAACAAGAGAAAGGAAGGGAAACAGGGUAAGGUGGGGUAGAAGGAUGGGAAGUGAGAAUCCUUCGCAGAAAGAAAUUACAGCUUAACCAGUAAUCGGUUCAGUGACGAGGAAAUACCCCUCUAAUGGUGGACAGUGAAGCAUCCAGGACGGAGCCCUGGGGGGAGGGGGCGGGCCUGCAGGCCUUCUGAACCUCUCGAACCCCAGCCGGGGUGACCCGUCCAGGGAGGGCAAGGGGAAGCCAGGUCUGAGAGAGACCAGCAAAUGACUCCUAGCCUGAGGAGGAGGUCGAGCUGCCUCCUCCAGGAAGGCUGCCUGGAGAAUUGUGGGUCCGGGCCAUGUCAGGGACAGGCGAGAGAGAGAGGGGCGUCAAGGCACGGCCCCCUCCCUCAGAAACCCCUACCGGGCCGCUCCAGGAAACCCCCCGCAAGAGAGAGCAACCACCACUUUUUCCUCCCUCCACCCUGGUGGUGUAACAGCUCUUUCUGGGCCCCUCACGUGGUGCUCCUGUCCCCCCAGCUCUGCUGGCCCCAAGGCCCCGUGCCCCGGGUGGAGACGGGCGGUGAACAGGAAUGGAAAGUGGAAUCAGAAGGCUCGAGAAGGGUCGUGGUCUGAAGGACGACACAUGGCUCCCCACAUAGGUCAGCCAGUGGCAGCCACGCAGGACGAUUCGGAAGCAGAUUUCUCUCCGGGCGAGGGCACAGGGUCUUUGAAUUCUGGCGUUGCUCUUGGAGCACACUCGCACGUCUUCACCCAGCAGACCGGGACCGGGGAUUGUGUGGGAAAGUCCCUUCAGAAGACUUUCCCAGUAAAGCAACUCCCAGCAGCCCAUCUGCCAGGCAUCCUGGCAGGGGACGGAGUCCUGGCCAGGGGUGUCUCUCCCUCCCCUUUUGAUCUUGCUGUGGCUGGUAGCUUCUGGCAUUUGUCCAGGGUUUCGCCCAUGCAUAAGGUCAUUGUUUUAUCAAAUAUUUGUUGAGCUCUACUAGGCAGUGGGGAUACAAAGAUGAAUGAGACCGAGUUCCUGCAGUCGAGCACCGUCGUCCGUAGUGAGAGAGGGCACACGGAUGUGCUGAGAAGGGAAACAGAAGCCCAAGGUCCGGACUUGAUGGCUCAGGCGUGCAUUCCCUGUCGUUGUGGCCUACACACAUACACGGCAGCCAGAGAAAAUUAGCGCUUGGCAGUUGCUCUGGGGGAAUCCUAUCAAUCAGGAAAUAUUGAGUGUUCACUGCGACCCGCCAGGAAGUUGGAAGCUGGCACGCGCUUUGCUCAAUCAGGACUUGAGUCUAAAACAAGAAAAGAAACAAAUACGAAAAACCUCCCACAGGUUCACGCAUGUUAUCGGGGUCCUGAUCUUGAGCAGCACCGAGGUUGGGGGAAAGGAAACCACUCCAAGGAAGCCAUUGAACAUGCCCCAAAUGGUGUCAAAAGGCAGAAGCCAGGGGUUGGUCCCAGGAAGGUGGUGACAGCCCAGGUGAUGGCCAAUGGGGAGUCUUGGAGACUCAGGGAAGGGACCAGGGAAAGGGGUGGUGACAUUGGCGUACCACCAAGGUGGCACGUCCUUGCAAUCGGAAACAAGGCCUGGUAGGAAAGGAGGUUGUCCCUUCCCCAGCUGGGAGUUUGCGAGGGAAGACCAGAGUCAGGUGACCCCACUCCCUCCCCACCACUCCUGCCCUUAUCCAUCCCUCCUGGGAAAGAGGUCCCAACAGAGGGCUAUUUGACAAGUCUCAAACCCUGGAGAACUUGGGACUUUGGAUAGACGUGGGCAGGAAAAAGGAGCUAGAAUCUGCAGAAAGAAAUGGAGGGAGGGAGAGGACAUCCAGGAGAGGCACCAGAGAGAAAAGUAACGUACUUGAAAUAUCAUGACAUACAAAAGAGGGGAUCAGAGAGGGCAAAAAGCGUGUUGGACUUAGGGGAACCAGAGUCAGAGGGAAAUCAGGGCAAGGAGAGAAGUGCCCAAGGAACCAACUGGCUGGGCCUUGCCUGGGGAAGACAGCCGUUGUGGAGCACGGACUUCAAGGGAGAGGCAGAGGCUCAGAGGAGGCUGGGGGAGCUGAGUGGACCAGACGCUGAGUUGGCAAGAGAAGCUUUCCUACUGGGAGUAGAAACGUAACACGUUCUAUGCUGUGUGUGCAGACAUGUGGUCUACCCCCUCUGCUCCUAACCCAGGACCAGCCUCUCUUGAAGUAAACACCAAUGAAGAAAAGCAGAGGAGGCUGGAGCGAGCAGUCUAUAAGCCAAAGGUGGCAUUGUGCAGGCAUUCCUUGGGGAAACGCUCAUCUCCAGCCUGUCGGCAGGACCUCUGGGACCUGCUGGGACCCCGGUUCUGGGCUGCCCCGAGGAAAGCCCAAGUGCCUUUCCUGAGAGCCUCCCUCCCUCCCAACCUUGUCCAGGUGCCCUUCGUGGGAAUAGCUGAGCUUCCCACAUCCCAUAGUCAGAGGCCCCCAGCCUCCCAGCCUGAGGCAUGGCGGCCAGAUCUUCUCAGACCCAACUCUGGCAGCUCAGUGACUUUUUGUUUAAACCCAGAAAUAUCACACCUUAGCGAUAGCCUGUUUCCCACUGAGGGGUACACAACUGGAUAGUCCAGUUAGAGAGGCAGGUUUGGGGCUGAGCAAAGGGGGACAUACGGUGAUUUCCACAGAAGCAGGAUCUUCGAUCCCUCCACCCUUCUGGAAGUUUCCCUCUCUCCUCCCCUUAAACGCAGGCUGCCAUGAGAAUCUAAAACCUGAGGGGGCUCAAACGGAGGUUGGCACAGCCUGGGGCAAAGGGUUGGGAAAGAGAAGCUACACUUCUUUGGGGGAGACGUUGGAGAUUGUGUGCCCAGGAACUAUAUGGAAUAAGCACUUGUGAUGUAUGCGCUCGACACUGGUUCCCAGGAGCCCCAGGAGCCCCUGCCCAGCAUCCUUGCCCUAGCCCAACCCUGUCUGCUUGCCAGUCCACUCGCCCUAGGAGGAGACCUGUUGUAGGCUCAGAAGACCCUUCAAGUGGCACUGAGUUCCCCAGAUCCUCAUCCCACAGAGAUUUCUGACUCCCAAGGCUCUCAGUAGAGACCAGAGCUGGGAGAAGGCUCAAGCUUCCCUGUGGCAUGGUGCCUGAGAAGGGUUGGAGGCUUGGGAAAUGGUGAAAUUACCAUUCAGUUCAAGAAGCGAGCAGCAGCUGGGAUCGGGGCUUGGGUUUAAGAUUUCUCUUCAACAAGGUUCCCAAAGUGAUUUUCUCUGGAUCAGCUGCUUUGACUAUUUGAGCGGUUGGAUAUCUGCCAUGUUGGGGUCUCCACUGUUUCUAUUUCUAUUGAACUUGGUGUCACGGAUUCAGCAGUGAGUGGGACACACAGUCCCUGUUCUCAAGUGGCUCACCACCUCCCAGGGAAGACCAUGGUCCUAGCUAUCGGGGGGAAAUGGUGAUGGCCACAAGUGCUCACCACAGCCUUUGUUAGUCCUCAGAUGUCAAUUUGCCAUAGUCUUUCUUCUAAGGCACACCUCACAGAGAACUUAAAUCACUUUAGAUGAUGAAGAUAGUUAAAAGGUCACCAGAAAACCACUUUCACUUUGGGAGUGGCAAGCAGUAAGCUUAGCCUCUGCUCGUCGAGAUCUCAUAGUCUUGAAGGAGCUGCUGUUUGGGUGUCCAAAUUCCCAUAAGCUCCCUUUAUGCUCUACUAACAUUUUAAGGAACAGGAAACAAUCUUGUUGGAGGCUGCAUGUCCAAUGUGGGAAACCUUUAAAAUACUAGAGACUCCAGGCUUGUGAGGGGUUCUGAGGGUCAGAUGCUCCCUGGAGCCAGCACAGGACUGGGGAAGGGAGAGCAGGGAGCCCCAAGAUCCAGACUCAAGGGUGCUCACAAGGGCUGAGAUUGUGCCUGGAAGCUCCCUUCUUGGCAGCCCCAGUUGAAGGGCAGAGGACCAGGGGCUGGUCCCAAGAAGAUGGUGACAACACAGAUCAUGGUCAAUGAGGAGGUCUGGGGGGCUCUUAGAGUGGGUCAGGAAGAGGUGGGGUUAUGUUAGAGUAUCACCAAGAAGGUGGUUCCUCAAAAUCAGAAACAGGGCCGGGGAAAUGGUUUAAUGGAAAAACCUAUGUAUAUUUGAACAUAAUUUAAAAAAAAGAAAGAAAGAAAGAAAAAGAAAUAGGGCACUGAGAAGAAAGAAGAAAGAUGUCCCCACUCCAGCUUGGGGAAUGGACAGGAGUGAAGUGUCCCUGCCCUUAUUGCGGUCUCUGACUUCACUGGCUUCCAGUGACUUCUUCUGGUCAUGACUGAGAAGAAGGGCAUAAGGAAGGGGACUGGAUCCAACUCAAAUACCCAGAGGACACAGGACACCGGAGAGAUAGAGAAAUUCUGUGAUUACAUCUGCAGAGACAAAGAGCAACAUCUCUGUACAUCCAGAGACGUACAGAGAGAGGAGACAGAAGGAACAAAGACAGGGUGACAGAUCUGAUCAGAGUCAAGGGUCAAGAGCGUGCAGGUGUGACCAUGGUCCCCCAACUCACUGCCAGAGCGCCCCGGUCGCAGAGGGAGGAGGGGCAGGGACAGACACGCAGAUAGGCAGCAGCUGGCCAUGUCCUGCCCCCAGGCCACCAACUCUCCAGGAGAAUAAUCAAAAUUCUUUUGGAUUUUAUGGUUCAAAAAGAUAUGCAAUGAGAAAUCAGAAGUUUUCAGAGACGCAGAGAAAAAUGCUGGGGGAAACGUUCCCAGGACGGAAUUGGCAAGAUUCUAAAUGAUUCAGAAAUGUAUAAGGCACUUGCCUUCCAGGCAGGGAUUUAUCUCCUCACUACCGGUUGCCCUGCUACCUCCUGGUGGUAGAGGGCCCCUCAGUAAGAAGGGUUGAAGAGGAGAGAAGGAAAGCAACGCGGGGCUGGCUAGGGAGCAAACUACCAGUUCCCUUUCUGAGUCAAGCUAUGCAUCAGUCUGUGGAUGAGCUGGCCCUCUUGCACCCACCUGCAGGGGUCCAGGGAUGUGUGCCGAGGGAGGCGGCAGGCAGAGUACCUGAGAGGUGCCCUUUGGCAUUAGGAAGCCCAGCCCUUGCUGUGGCUCUCAGAUGCUGCCCCUCAGCGGCCAGAAACCCACAGCCCUGAGCCCAGGCUCUGCGUGGCCUUUAGCAAAGCUCAUUUCCAGCUUGGACAUGCCUCCGGGCCCCUCCGGGCCCUGCCGACAUCUGUGGCCCAGGCUGCCCCGAUGUCCUUUGUCCUGAUGGACUGUCCUGUCCAAAGGGUUUUCUUUCUCCCUUCCACAGACUCCUAUCUCAGUAUUUCCUGCACAAACAGUGUGAUGCGCUCUCCUUCUCAGAAGCAGAAAAAAAAUCAUACUACUUGGAUACAUGUCUUCCCUGGAGACAUUUAUUAGCUUACCACAAAAUGGAAGAGUACAAGGUCAGGGACUGGCAAGCGUCUGGUUGUUACACAAGAGUCAGCUGCUCUUCUGGCUCCCGUGAGAGCUCAGCCCAGGAACUUUAUUUUACCCCCGCUUGAAACCCAGGCAGCCCUGAGAGGCCAAGAGCCAACAAAGCCUUCAAAGUGUUGCUGGCGCCCUUUCCUAGACGGAAGCUGUAGAGUGUUCAGGAAAUGACCAAAACUACAGUGUAGUUAAAUAAGCAAGGUAUCCCGACCAGAGGUCUUGGAACUGCUUUGGGCACUGAUUCCAGCGGGCUUUUUCUUAAUCUGUGGCCCUUGAACCCAGCUAAUGUCGAGACAUGUUCUUCUAGAAUAUUCUAUAGACCCCGUCAAUAUAUCUGCUGCACACGAGAAACAGAGCCAAGUCCCUGCCUUAUGAGACCUUCCUGCCUUCAGUUGGCUCACAGUUGGAGUAGGGGAGGGAGACAGUCAAGUGUGUAAUCUUACGACCAUAUGUGAAGUGCAAAAUAGUGUCCCGACGGCUCUAACACCCAGAGGACCCCCAAAUCAUUGAGUCAGCCAUAGUGAAAGGUUGCAUGGCCUGGCAAUUCCUUCAAUGGAAAUGCUUUUUGGAGGUCAUUGGCCUGUCUUCAGACUAGUACAGGGACAAUCAGGCAGGCUCUUACUUCAUGGAGCGGGAGAGGUUUUCCUAGGGUCAGGGCUUAUGGGAUUGAGGUACAGUGGUUAGAGCAGAAACUCUUUGCUAUUUCCAGCUGAAGCAGGCAAUGGAGGGGAAUGGGUAAGGGGCUUGUCCCUUAUGGCCUGCCCCUCUCCAGACAGUGGAAAAUCGAGGCAUCCAAGAAAGAAGGAAAGGGGAAAUGCAAACCGCCUAGCUCAUAAAUCUCUGUACUCAAGAAGGACAUCAGGAGAGGAAGGUGGUUUUGUCCCCCUCGGGGUGUCCAUGACCUUUUCUUGCCUCGCAGUCCUUAAAUUUUGUCACCCUAGAAACAGCUCUCUUAUUUUAGUACUUAACUAAAGUCUACUUAAGACCAAUACAGAUACAGAAUUAUACACUGUGAAAUGAGACAAAAUAUGAAAAGAAAUAGCAAAGAAGAGCAGCAGAAAGGGUGGAAACAUAGAUCCUCAGAGUCAAGAAACAGAGCAGAGCCCUGGAGAGAGAACCCAGGAGGUGAUGGCUAGACAUGGAGGCACAAAGCAAGGCUGCCCGGCCAGAGAAGGCUGAGCCAGCUGGGUACUGGGGGCAAGGGGAAGCCAAGGUUCUUCCUACAGUGAACACAUAACGUGUACCAAUCAUGCUUUGGAAAGAACUCUGAUGGCAGUAAGAGGUGGUGAUGGCCGGGCACUCGGGAGCAAAUUGCUGUCCGACUUGCCCGUUCCUCCUUCUGACCCUCUACAUACAUUUCUGAGGAAAAGGGAGCCCAUAAAGCAUGAGCCUUGUAAGUUUGCCAGAGGGAGAAAAAACUGAAACAAGGAAUUUCAUGAAAUGAUGGAGCUGGGGGCCAACUGCUGCCUGGCCCUUACCCUGCCCACACUGUGGACAGAGUGUGGGUUGGAGGGCAGGGUGUGGGUCAGAGAGGGAGGACUAUAUAGUCAGGGAGAAGUUAAUGGAGUACCUCAAGUCCUUGUGAAUCCCCCUACUAGGCCUCCUUCCUCUGGACUGUGUCCCCCGAGUCCUUCAUCCUGACUUGGUUCCCAGCCAGGCCAUAGUUCGGACAGGGUAUUGAAGAGAAUUAAGCUGACUGAGACCACAGAUUCUCCCUUCAAAAUAGGCAUUCGCAAAACAAGUGGACUUGGCCUGGGGCUCUGUCACCAAGAGAAAGAACUAUAGUAAUUAGGGCCAGCCUUGAUUUCCCUUUACUCCUGGAAGGGACAUAUAUCCAGCCAGGAAGUAGGGUGAGCUGCCUGCUCCAGGUGGGACAAAGAAUGGCUUUCCACGCGUGGUUUGGGCAUCCUAUUUGCAUGCGGUAGAUUGGUACAGCUCCUUUCAGAAAGAGAAGGCAAGAAUGCAUUGCCCUGACCCUUCUUUCACCUCAUCCUUCUCUCUGCUCGGGAUUGCUUCCCCCCGUCCUUGGCUUCUGCCAUUCCUGGAUGACUCUCUUGGACUGGGUCUUCUGGAAGGACUUGGCUCCCACCGAGCCUUGGGGCAUCAUCCCGCCGCUUCGUGGGCCUCUGGGAAUCUUGUAUCCGUGCCGGACGUCACCUCGUACCGUGAAGGCAAGAGGAUGUCUAUUUUGAAGGGAGCAUUUGUGGACUCUGUUCUUUCCCACAGUCAUUUAUGAAGCCUUUGAAUGCAAUGCAUACAUUUUUUUAGACCAAGGGCAGAAGGGGUUUGUCUUGAUCUGUAGUUCUGGCUAUGUUUGCGUGGGAAGGCGAGACCUUCUGGGGACUCCUGCCAUCUCUAAGUCACUGACUGACUUAAAGUUGCCUGGAAUCUAUUAGGAUCCUUCAGUUUCAAGUACUCUGACACAGAGAAGCUGUGUCUUACCUGGCAAGCUGACAUCCAAUUCUGUUUAAAACUCACGGGUUCCUAUUGCCACCUUCUCCCCCUGGCUCCUUUGCUAUUUCUGCUUCCUACACUCCUGCAUACUUAUCUCUGAUAUACAUCAAACGCAUUGGAAAUCAGACAUUAAUAUUCUAAUGUCAUUCAAAACACAUCAUGAAAGUUCAAGUAUUAGUCAUAUACUCGAACAAGUCUUGGGGAUACAACAAUGAAUGAGAAACAGUGUCUUUUCCUCUAAAAGCACUUAAUCUUGCAAAAUAACCUCCCAACCUUCCAGGACUCUAAAGGUGAAGUUGAAUUUGUAAGUUAACACAGGGACUCAGUCUCUUUGGAUGACAAAUGAAAGACACCCUUGAAGACUCUAAUCCAUGAAUGACUGGGUUGGGUUUAAGGAGCCCCUGGGAAGCAGCUUGCAGACAAAGUAGAGAAUCUCCAAAUUCAUAGGAAUCACAGAAGUCUCAAAGGACUUAGCCUUUCUGGAGGUGGGAUCUAUAGUUGAAGCCGGAAGCUGCCGCAUCAGAAUUCUUAGCUGGAAGGCAGAGAACCAGGUAGGGAGAAGGUCAGAUGUGGUUUCAUGAAGAUGUCAUUUCACCAAAUGAUGGCUGUUGGAGCAAAGAAGAACGAUCAUAGAAAAGGCAAAGCCAGAAGGGAAUAAGAGAGAUAGAACCCCUCCUGAAGGCAAGAAGUUAUUCCUCACUCUUCUAGUUUAUAAGCUGGUUUGCGGCCACACACCCCAGGAAUAGUCAGGUGGCAUCUAACUCCACCUCUGCUUUCCAAUCCCGCCUCUGUCAUCCCUGUGUCUUGUAUCCCUGUGGGAAAAAAGAAAGUACACAUGAAUAAGCUAGAAUGUCCCCAUCAGAGGAGAAUCUCAUAGGUCCAGAGCUAGCUAUCCAGGAUGAUACACAGAGAUGCAGAAAAAGAACAAAACGCAGAAAGAAAAUCACGAGAGUUUUAACAGAAGAAAUACGGCAGAAAAAUUGGAAGCAUCCCCUGGGAGAAAAUCCAGGGCAAAGAGCGGUGAGUCAAUAAAUAAAUAAAUAAAUAAAUAAAUAAAUAACUGAUAAAGAAUGUCAGCAGAAGGCAGCAGUAAAGGUAUCUCUCUCAGAGACCUGACAAGGUUCAGGGAGGGCAAAACAGAAGCUGAGCUCUCAUCUAUAAUACCCUGUCCCACCGAGGCCAGUACCCCUAGCACCCUAGACCUCGCUCAUGUAUUCAGAGCUUCAAAGGCCUCCAAGCAGAGAAGAGCCCUGAGAAGGAGAAGAGGGAAUGGAAAUAAAGGGCAGAUGCGGGAAGAUGUUUGAAGAAACGGGGGAGGGAGAAAAUAUUCUGGCCAUUGGUGCUAAGCACAAGAUACCCGAAAGGCUGGAAACAUACCCCACAAUCAUCACAUUCCCCCACAAGCCCCUGGUAGCUGCCAGAUGGAAGCAAAGGGGGGGAAAUGUGGUAGGAUGAGGGCCAGACAGUUUGGGGCCACCAAAAACUCCCUAGCUCGUUUCCUUCUUCUACUUUUCAAUUAAAUUAUUCAAACUCAGGCCUGAUGCUUUAUCCGAUGUGUUUAGAUGCUACCCAAGAUCCAGGCCCUCUUUGCCCUAUGGGAGGGCAAGAGGAAGUGCCCUGUGAUGCGUGUGCUCUUGUGUGGGUAGUCAGGGGACUUGUCCCACUUUGGUAUGGUGAGGGAAGGAUAUGCCAUCAUUUGCAAUCUCUGGCCUUGACCUCACAUGGGCUCCCAAUCCCGUGUUCUGCUUGUACCGAGAACCAGACCUCUGAGCUCACUCCAUCCGAUCAGCCUCUGAUGCCAGUAGGAGAGAGGGGAGUCAGUUGAAGCUGGUAGAUGCCUUUGAGUUUUAAUGAAGUCUUUGAAACAACAGCACUGAAAUGUUAGGGACCAUUUCUUCUCUAUUUUUCAACCCAUUUCAACCCAUUGCAGUAAACAUCCAUUUUACACUUAGUAAAUCACACUGGGAUGUCUGCUUUCUUAAGAAUUUUACCAAAACUUUGUUUGAGGCUAAACCCAAUUCCAGAAACUUUCAACUGCAGUCUGAUCCAGAUUUCUCUGUGGCAAGCUAUGGGCACGGGAAGGGGGAGGCACAAAAGGUCUCACAUUGCUUGAAAAAUGGUCCCAUUGCAUUUGAGGUCAACAAUCAAAAGCCCAACCUAAAAGCUGGGCUCAGAGUCUCCAUCAGCUGGGAUUUGGGAUCAGGCUUGAUCCUUUACUGCAGGAGACAUGCACCCUGGUGGGGGUCCUCUUGGUGCAGAUGUAGAGUUGUCAAGAAUCCAGAGCAGUCUCAGACUGUUCAGAGAAAUUGUUCUUGUUUUAGGGUUCAUACAACCCUCUUUUUCCUCUUUCCCCUCAAAUCUUCUCCUGCCUUUGUACUUUGGUUGGCUAUUCCCUCUGACUUAAUAGAUACAUCAAAACCCUUUAGAAGCCCUCAUCUAAUAUCACUGAAGAUUCUCGCUUUGGUUAACAAGCAUUUAUUGAGCGUUAGUCAGGCUUCCAGUGGUGUUGGGAAUUCGAAGUCAACUGAGAGUUGGUUUUUCCCCACUGAGAAAGUCCCCAUUGAGAAAGGGACGGGUGGACUGCAGAAAGGGAGGCUGGGCCAGGUGGGCAGGGUACCCUUUGAGGAUCUUUCCUACGGGACUUUACAAACAACGCUGGUUCUCCCAGACACACACACAGAAGACAGUGGGUGAUUUCCUGCUGGAGAUCUCCUAACUGGAGAAUAAAGAGUCAGAUGGUGAGGAUGACGAAUGAGGAGCUUGAUCUCUUCAGCUGUUAUUUUUCUCAUAGUUAAUCAUUGCAAGGGAGGGGGAGAGAAAGGCCGGGCAGCUAAUAAAGAGUGUGGGAAUGGGAUAUCCAGACAGUUCUCCGGGGCGGGGUGAUCUGGCUGCACCAACUACUCCUUGGGUAGUAACAUGGCCACCUGUCUGUUUCCCUCCAUACCCUUAUUCUUCUGGUGGCCAAUUCAGGCCCCAGCCAUCCCUGCUUGUCUGAGGAAAUAUUAGACGAGCAAGAUAAAAGAGGCACACUCACGUCCUGACUUUGGCAGACUAGAAAGAAAGAAAUGGAGAAACAAAUAAAUUUUUUAAAACAGCAAUGCAGGGAUGUAAUGGCAGAAACAUCGAGACGUGGAGGAAGACAACUAAAUAUGGAGCAGGGGAGAAAAUGCAUUACAGGGAAAUCUGAGCAGCCGGGGACGCAGAAGAAGGGGGAAUCGCAGGGAGGUGGAAGAGGAAGGACAGAGAGUAGACACAGACAUAGUAGACAUAGGAGCUACCGGGGCGCUCUCUUCCCCCGCUGGGCUGUGGCCUGGGCAACUUCAUUUUUUGGUUCCUGGAAAGAUAAAAGAGCUGUGGAAGAGACACGACGAGAGACCAUGUAGGAAGCAGCCGAGGAAGCUGUGUCAAGAAUAUAGAAGAGUCUCAGGGUCCAAGAAGUGUCCAUUCCUCCCUAACUUACCCACCGUAUUCACCGACUCACCCUGACUAUGGGUCAGGCGUCUGACCCAGUUUAGCCUGAGGGAAUAAAGAAAGAAAUUGGAUUGAGUGGAGGAUUCAGGCUCUGGGCGUUCCGAGUGGCAGUCUCCACCUGCCUGCGUUAUCGGAGUCUAAUGUGAAUCAGACGGCACCACUCCUGAUGCUUGGGCAGCCUUUGAGGGAUCGGACAACUGGAAACCAUCCAUCCUUUUAAUUUUUUACGUAAGAGUGAUUGCCGGGCAGGACUGUGGAGUGGGGAGCACUGGAUGACAUCACGAAAUGCCUUUCGGAGGUCAAGGUUCGUGUUACCACGUUUAGUGCUCUUGACCAGAUUUAAGGAUCCCCGCUUUACCAAGAUAGAGCAAAAACUCUUUUAUGUAAAUACAAAUGUGGUGUAUAACAAGACGGAAAAACAGGGCUCCUGUUUUCAUCCAGAUUCCAAAAGGUCGAGAAAAAAAUCGGUGGAAAAGUUUGGCUGUUUUUUUAAAAUAAAGAACCAAGGGUUACUAAGAAGGUGGUCAAAAAUCGAUGCCAAGCCUUAGUCCCGCGUGCAGAGUAGGACAUGGCUGAGGCCUGGGAAAGGAAAAGAGAAAGUCCCUGAAGCGACAUGGCGUUGUACCUCCCCUCCCCUCACUAGGAAAAGAAAACCGAAGGGGGAUCACCCAGGGCCCUUGAUGUGCAUUCCUUGGAUUUUGCAGAUCACGGCACACUGACGCACAGAUGGCAGCUAGGAAGGAAAGGGCUGAGGCAACAGGGCAGAGCCUCAGCCUUCACUGGGAAGUGGCUCCGUGACCAAGGAUAGGACGUGGAGUGGCAUGGUUCACUGUGUUUCAUUGACCGGAUGGGUUGCUCCAGGACGAAACGUGGCCAGGAGCCCAUCGUGCCGGGGAUGGUUUCCAGAAGGGAUAGGGUAGUGGUGAGGAGGAGUAUGUGACUGAAAAGGAAGAAGAAAUUGCUGACUUGAAGACACGCUUUGCCCAUGGCUGGGAAGCACAGUCAAAUGUGCUCAGUGAGGUUUCUAAGGGACACUCAAUCAUCCCCUACAGAAGUGUCAGCCCCGAACAUGCACCAAGCCCAGAGCACGCACAACCAGAUCCUGUGAAAACCAACUCACUACCCCAUCCCUGAACGCUGGGGUGGAAACUAAGGCCAGGAAGGGUGCGCAGAAGCAAAAGCUCAAGCCUCGUGGAGAAGCCAACCACACCCACUGCUUACCGAAAGAGCGAGAAGGCUUUAACGGAAGUUCUCUGUUUUGACUAUUACACAGGCCUGCGUAUUUCAGUUACUGAAAUGGAUCUGCCUUGUGACUAAAAUUGACUGAAGGUAGUUACCUGAGAGUUUCUGGAAAAAUUAUGCAACCAGCCGGCACUUUUGCUCAAGGGAGGGAAGGAAUAGCUUCACAGAACAGAUUUUCAGACGGCACUUGUCCUUGAAUUGUGGGUGGGUGGCAUUUGGGUCUUGUAAGGUGUCAGAGGAACUUUCCUCACUCCUUCCCCUGCCCUUUGGUUUCACAGGCUUCCUUUCAAACAUGCCCCACUUUGCAGGACAUGUUUCAGCCAGAGAGAAGCACUUUGAGUUUUGGGGAAGGAUAGGAUACUUUUUUCUCUAAUUCCUUGAUCCUGCCACAUAUCCCGGACUCUGCUGGAACACAGCCCUCCCGCCAUACCUCUCACUGCGUGAUCCUUCUGGCGCACCUCAGACUUGGCUUCUUUCUGAAAGUCUCUGGAAUUUCUCCCGGUGAAAAAAAGAGCCCCCCCCAAUGACUCCACCGUCACCCCUCCACCCCCUGCUUAUGUCUGUGACUCGGAAGUCAGUGCUCUCAUUGCCAGUUAAUUUGUCCUCAGUCUCUCCCACAACACUGUAAAUUCCUUGAGGGCAAGGAUUCCAUCUUAUUGACUCAUUUAUUUCACAGGUUGGAGAACUUCUUGGCACAUUGUAGAUGCUCAGUUAAUGUUUGUUGAAUCAAUGCAUGAACACACUCACACCCAUACUCCCCACCUUUUACUUUGACGUGUUGAAUGUAUGCAUAUUUAAUUUCUGGGCAACCGCAAGAAUUUCACUUUUAGUGUAUGUGACUUGCAAGUCACUUUAUCUUGAGGGGACAAGACAUAGAAAAUUAAAAAUGGAGAAAAAGGAUACAGAGAAGAAAUAGAUUUGUUGCUGAGGGUGCGGUAAAGAUAAAGCAGAGGGAAAUUAGACACCAAGGAGUGGUGGCCUGGGGGCUAAGAAAGGCCGGGUUGCUCAGCUGUAGGUCUGAAGGCAGCUGGCAUACUGUGCCAUGAAAUUGUUUGGGGUAGGGCUGUUAUACAAGAUUUAUGUAAAAAAAAAAAAAAAAACAAAAAACAAAAAAAAAAAGCAAAAAAAAAAAAAAAAAGACAUUGUUUUAGCAUGUGUUUCCAAUUUCUUCCAGAAUGUGAGGCAACACUAAGUAUCUGAAGAUCCACUGGGGUUAGGUGAAGUGGGUUAUUUGUGAAAGGAAAAGGUGCUGAAAAGAUGCUAGGGCAGAAGCCAGCUUGUGUGGUCUUCCCCAGAUUUGGAAAUCAUUCAUAUAAAACCUCAGGGUCGUAGUCCAUCCCUUAACAGUGCCCCAGGGUAGUAUCUGGACCUCAUGGGAUGGCUUCUUUUUUUUUAAUUUUUUUUUAACGUUUUUUUAUUUUUGAGACAGAGAGAGACAGAGCAUGAACGGGGGAGGGGCAGAGAGAGAGGGAGACACAGAAUCGGAAGCACGCUCCAGGCUCUGAGCCAUCAGCCCAGAGCCCGACGCGGGGCUCGAACUCACGGACCACGAGAUCGUGACCUGAGCUGAAGUCGGCCGCUUAACCGACUGAGCCACCCAGGCGCCCCUUUCAUGGGAUGGCUUCUGGAUAUACCUUAAGGAAGCUACUCCCAGGGGCUCAAGCUCCCAGCCCCUGUGCCUCAGCGGGACUAUGCCUGUAAAAGCUGUUAGAAUAUCUGCUUACACUGUGACCCAAAGACCGAUGUUUGUAAGAAUCGUCCCUGGGACACUCAUAUAAGGUGCAAAGGAAAAAAGACAGAGCCCCAAAAUAAAUGAGGAACAUCGUGUCUAGGUUAAAGAGAUGGGAACUUGAAAGCAGCUUUCAUUAAAACAAGAAAAAAAAGAAGUCAAUGAGGUAGCAUUACUUGAAACUAAAUGAUUAUAUAGAGCAAAAAAAAUUUUAACUGCUAGAACCAUCAUACCUGUAAUAUCUGUAAUUAGUAAUUGCACUGUGGAUUUUCGAAAUGGUUGUAGAAAAUGCCUUUUUAGCUCUCCUGGGGAGAUUAAACACAAAUCAAAGCUCUGUCCAACUCAGGGAUGUUGAAAAUCCUCUGUGCCUGGUUAGUGAGUCAGAACCAUGGAGGAACAUUGAGUAGGAGGAAAGCAAAUCAGAGAUGCAACCACACAAGCUAUGAAAAUGUGGAGGGGGUAACUGACACAGUAUAAAAAGAUGGCUUCAGUAGGUGUAUUAUCUGGGGGGGGGGGGGGGGGAUGCAGUCCAGUGAUUCGCGAGCAUCUCCUUGAAGUUAAAGUGUAGUAAGCUCAGAAAAAGUUUCAAGUAAGCCAAAUAUGGCUCACGGAUGACAUGCGAAGGAAACAAUAACAAUUAUGGUCAUUAUUAGACUUCCAAACUAUGAGGCGCUAAGUGAACUCAACGUAAGCCAAAGCCCCGUAAGGCACUAAGGAGCAAUAAAGGGUCUCCACAGAAUCUUCCAAAAGAUUGCAAAGCCAAGAGUGCGGCCCCAUGUAUGCAAGGCCUGAAAUAAGGGUGGUGACAAACAUAUUCGAGGGGAAAUGAGCCAAGAGCGUUGGACAGUGUUGAGAUUAUCCCUCUUCAUCUGCUUUGGAAUGGCUUUCCAAAGCUGUAGCCUAGCCAGUUGGGAGGCUGCAUUUGAUCAGAAGUAAUUAUACCCUUUUGAUGAAAUAUUUUAGCUCUCUUUCAUUGCAUUGCAGAUUCCAGGGUGUUCCUCCUAUGAACCUAUGAACCCAGAAGACAGGCCAGGAGCACAGCAUGUGGCACAAAGCUCCCUUCUCGCUGUCCGGUGGAGCGCUUUUUACACUACAUGGCUGAAAUGCAAAAGAUAACCAAAUUAAAAUCCAACAUUUGUAUCUUUCAAAUUCUCAUCACCGUACUUAAAACUGCCUGAGAUAAUCAAUUCUCUGAAGUUUCAUAAAUUUUUGGACAAAGUUUUAUUCUUUACCAAACCCUUAAAUCACAUAUAUUUUUUAAAAAAAUAGGAAAUAAAUUGAUGGGAGUUAUGGUUUACCUGAGUGAUUUAAAAUUUGAUACAUAUACCUCACAAAUAAACGCAAUAAAAAACCAUACGGAUGCUAAGUGCAGCCAAUAUGAAUGGUCAACUUAUCUUCUGGAAAAUUUAAACGAUAGAAAGACUAACAGUCUAAAUAAAACUCCAAGGGAAUGAUGGAAUUUUGAAUUUGUCAGAUUCUUUUUAAUUCUCCAGAAUCUUGUUCAAAUUUCACUUCCCAUUUUCUCAGGAACAUAUAGACACCCAAGCUUAGAUGAGAUUAUCACUCCAUCCUUUAAUUAAUGAUAAAUGUUGUCUUACGUGGUACAGGGUGGAUGAAUUUCACAGAAUAAUACGGUUCCUUAGUUCAAAAUAGUCUAAGUAUUUCUCUGCCUUAAGUGAACACUGAGAGAGGGUUCAUUUUUUUCCAGAAAUGCUCAAACCCUUGCUCCCUGUGUUGCAAGAAAGCUCCUCAAGUGUAGAUUUGUGUCUGAUGAAUAUCUCUCUCCAGCAAAGGGCCAGGAACAGAGUCAAUAGCCAGAACUGAUGGCUCCUCUUGCCAAGUCCAGAGGGUCUGAAUGCGGGUCCAUGCUGGUAGCUUCUAAUUGCUUCAGCUAUUGCAAAUGUAUCAUGAUCAGUGAUGAAGACUUCAUAUCACUUGAGCUCUUCUUUUUGGAAACACGUUUGGGCCGGGGCAAGAACCGAAAUACCCUUCGCUCAUCUUAGUGUUUGCCCUGGCCUUCAUUAACACGGUACUGGACCACACAGGACACAGUUGACAGUCACUAAGCUAGACUACUUAGAGACUGCAUGCACUCAAGCUGUCCCCAGGCGCAGGGAAAGCCUGGAGAUACUCGGGUUGGCCGUUUCAUUGGAACGCCAACCUUGAGAAGAGAUAUACGGCAAGACAUUUAGAAAACCCAGUGGCCCACUGCAGAAUUCUGAGAUGUUGCGCCUCUGGAUUGACACUAUAAUGCUUUGAAGAGAAGAAACAAGGAUGUCCAGUUUUGACAUCCUUCCUAACAGCACAAUGAAUGUGAUGUUUAGGUUAUACCCCAAUGAAAAUAGCUGAAGAUAAGAGAAUUUAGAUCUGACUUUAAUUACAACCGUUGGACCCCCAAAGAACUUUGGAUACCGUCGAAGUUUUGGGUUUGUUUUUUUUUUUUCAUUAUCUGUUAUAUAUCUAGCUUCCUCGCUAGAUAGUGAAUGUCUUAAGAGUAAGCGCUGUGUUUCAUUCACCUUUGCCGGUUCUGCAUCACCUAAUAAGUUUAGUUUUCAGGAUAGCCACCCAGCAGGAACUUAAGUAGGUUUGUAUUGAAUUAACAUAUAGUCAAAUCUGAGCUUGCCACAGUGUCAGAUAUUGACUUGUUAUUUGCAUAUCCAAUAAUCUUUGCCGGCAUCCUCAUUGACAGCAGCAUGUCAAUUGCACAGGCAGAUCAAUUAAGACCCAGGUCAACCACAGAUGUCGGCAUCAAUGCCUGAAUUCGCGAAAGUUGCCGCUAAUAAAGUUUGGAUUAUUGUUGUGGUGCAACCGUCAGCCAGAAUAGUUUUUAAAAGGAAAACUUCCAGUAUCUAACUGGAUGGAAUAUUUAAGGAGUGAACAUUCAGUGUUCAUUUUUUUUUAAUGGAAUACAAAGAAAAUGGAGAUAGCUAUAUGGCCCCAGCGUGGUGGAGUCUUUUCCGCGCAUGAAGCGAUUAAAGACAUCAUAAAGAAAACUCUUGGCAAAUUUGAUUACACAAUAAUAUUAGUACUUCUAAAAACUAAGUUAAUAUUUUUUUAAAAAAUAACAAAAAUCUGCCUAUUCCCGAUACUGUCCUGUGGAGGGAAUUGGAACAAAUGUGAUUUAAAAAAAAAAAAAAGAAGUAAGCAAUUUAUAAGAGUUUAAAAUCUUAAAUUGAUGAACUAAGAAUAGAUUUGAAAGAGAAAUUUAAAUCCCUGAUCCUAUCUUAGAAUGAGCCUGUAAAUGACCUCUGGCAUGUACGUUUCCUAAUGACGAAUCUCACCGAGGUUUAGGAGAGUGAAAUAAUAAUCUUUAAUUAAAACUAGUAUUUAAUGCUCUGGUUCAUUCAAGAAAACCCGUUGCUAGACUUUUUUUUUUUAACAUUAUAUUUGUAACCAAGUUAAAAUAACUAGAUGCCUGGCUUUCUUACUGACGAUGAAGGUAAGGCCUUGUAUGAACAGAAAAGUCUUUGGGGUUUCAGCUUAGAAAAUUUGAAAAAGUAGUUUCUGAUGUGACUCUGCCUAUAAAAUUUAUUUUCUCAAUACAGUUACAAAGCCCAGGCUCUUACAUACGGCAAGGGUAAUCACCUUUCAAAAUAAAUACUAGUUCGCCCAAAAUACCCUCCGUGAGACAUUGAUUGUGCUUGAGAGGGAGGUUCUACAGUUGCACUGAAUGGUGCACUCACUCGCUGGACUAUGGUCUUUGUUUUCUUAUAGAGGCACAAGACCACAUACUUUGAAAAUCAUCCCUGUUAAAUGUUUGGUUCAUACCACAGCCUUAUCCGAAAGCAAGACACUCCUUUUUGCUCUUUUAAUUUUAAGUUUAUUUAUUUAUUUUGAGAGAGAGAGAGAGCACAAGCCAGGGGAGGGGCAGAGAGAGGGAGAGACCGAAUCCCAAACAGGCUCUGCACCAUCAGCACAGAGCCCGAUGUGGGGCUCGAACUCACAAACUGUGAGAUCACGACCCUGGCCGAGAUCAAGAGUCUGACGCUGAACUGACUGCAUCACCCAGGCGCCCCAUGACGCUCCUGGUGAGAACACCAAAUGAUAAAAAAUGAAAGGGGGAAAAAUAAUCAUUUCAACUAGUUUCAUUUUUGCUUCUUACUUGGCCAUCUAGGCCUGCCAGGGAUAGCAGAAAGGAAGGAGACUUUGUUCUUCCCGGACAGUCAAGGUGGGAAAGCCUGUGGAGAUCAUGAAACACAAUCCCUUUAUUCUGCAAAGAAACUGAGGCUAAGAGUAACUGUCCUGACACAAAGACACUGAUUGAAAGUUUUAGUUUCGUUCAGCUUGUUUGCCAUGAGGUUGUUUUCAAAACAAACAUCAUAUUUUACUUAAAUCACUCUGGAUUUUAGACAUGACAAACCCAUCUGUGUCUUGGAGGGGUAGUGGGGAGAGCUUACUUAAAAUACGGCAGGUGCCAGUAUUAGGAUAGUCCAAAAGAAAGCUUGUUAAUGCUAACCAGUAUGUAUUGCAUGGCUCUUGCCCAACACUAAGUUCAUCGGCAAGUUAUAGAAAAAAAAAGAACACAAGCUUUGAAGCCAGACAAAUGAGAAUGUAAAGCUUCGUUCUAUAGCUUACUAGUCUCAACAAUUACCUCGGACGUUAUUGAACCUCUCUGGACCUCAGUUUCCUCAUCUGUAAAACAUACAGAGAGAAUAUUUUCGAAAUUAUUGCAAGAAUAGGAUGAUACAACCCCUGAAAAACAAUUUCGGUAAUCGAUACUCAAUAGAUAUUGGCUGUCCUCUGUGGUGAAGGGGUUCACAGAACCCUUGCUCAUUCUCUACAGGCACAUUUGUCACUAGAUUAACUUUCUAUCUCUGUUCUGCUGGGAUAGCUGAUUAAAGGCAGAGAGUCAGUUGUGUUUCUAGGCAACACUGUUUAUGGUUAAAGUGACCCCUAACUGGGGAAUUGCAUCCCCACAAAGGGGAAGUAUAAAUGAAGAAGGGAGAGAAAUGGCAUCGGCUUAAGAGAUGAUAUCUUUCACAGGAUAGCCCGUCAGCCAGGUGAGAGUGAGACACUUAUUGGGGGGUGGGGGGGGGGGGGCAAAACAUUCCAAACGCAGGUGGCACAGGCAAGAAGACCAAUGAACUGGAGCCAUGGUGGAGAAGUGAGGGAGUAAGGGAUACGGGAUGAGACAGCAGAACAUAGUCAGCGGGGUCUCAAGCUACUCACAGGGCUUGUGUUGUAUUCCUAACGUAAAGCCGUGUUCUCCAAAAUACACAGGGAAAAAGAAAGUGCCAGUAAAUCAUGAGACAGGCAGGAAAGUACUGGUGGUAUCUUAAUAAUAGAAGGGCUCCAUGCUGUGCGUAAGAGGGCCAAACAUGACUUGGCGCAAACAGGGAAGGCGAGGACCAGCUGGUCAAGGGCUACGUAAACAAAAAAGGACGUUCAGUGAAAAAGCCAUGUUGUCACGUUAUGGUGGGACCCAUAAUCUUAGUCACAAGGACUUUCUACGGCAGUUCCUUUUAUUUUUUUUUAUUCUAUUUUUUUUGGGGGGGGGGGGAGAGAGAAAGACAGGGAGAGGGAGGGGAACCGGGAGAGAAAAAGAGAAUCUUCAGCAGACUCCGUGCUCAGCAUGGAGCCCGAUGUGGGGCUCGAUCCCACAACCCUGGGAUCGUGACCUGAGCUGAAAUCGAAUUGGUGGCUCCACGGACUGAGCUACCCGGGUGACCCUACAGCAGUUACUUUUUAAGUGUAUUUUCAACCCAUAAACACAUAAAUACAUUUUAUUUGCUUUGUAAAUUAGUUUUUUGAUUAAAAACAAUUUUUUUUAACGUCUAUUCGUUUUUGAGAGACAGAGACAGAGCAUGAGCUGCGGAAGGGGUGGAGAGGGAGGGGCAGAGAGAGAGGGAGACACAGAAGCCGAAGCAGGCUCCAGGUUCCGGGCUGUCAGCACACAGCCCAAUGGGGGGCUCGAACUCACAAACAGAGAGAUCAUAACCUGAGCCAAAGUCGGACGCUUAACCAACUGAGCCACUCAGGUGCCCCUGUAAAUUAUUUUUAAUUCAAGUAUAGUCUGCAUACAGUAUUACAUUCAUUUCAGGUGUACAACUUAGUGAUCCAACGUUAUGAAAUACUCAUCAGAUUAAGUGUAGUUACCAUACGAACUUAUUUGUAUAUUUGUACCAUACAAACUUAUGACAAUAUUAAUGACUAUACUUCCUAUAUUUCCAAUAUUUCCUGACUAUAUUUCAUCCCUGUGACUUAAUUCAUUUUAUAAUUGGAAGCUUGUACCUCUUAAUCCCUUUCAUCUAUUUCACCCCCCACCCCCCUGCCCCCCUGACAACUACCAGUUUGUUCUCUGUAUGUGUGAGUCUAUUCCUGUUUUUGUUUGUUCACUCAUUUGUUUUGCUUUUCUGAUUCCUGACAUAAGUGAAGUCAUGUGAUAUUUGUUUUUCUGUUUCAUUUCACUCAGCGUAAUGUCCUCAAGAUCCAACCAUUUUGUCACCAUGGCAAGAUUUAAUUCUUUUUUAUGACGGAGUAAUAUUCCAUUACGCAUAUAUACCACAUCUUCAUUUAUCUAUUUUUUUUUAAUUUUUAUUAUUGUUUUAGACAAUAAUAAAGAGCAUGAGUCAGGGAGAGGGACAGAAGGAAAGAGACAGAAUCUUAAACAGGCUCCACACUUGGUGCAGAGCCCAAGGCAUGGCUCGAUCCAACAACUGAAAUCAAGAGUUGGUUGCUAAACCACCUGAGCCACCCAAGAUCCCCUCUUCAUUUAUCGAUUGAUGGACACUUGGGUUGCUUCCAUAUCGUUCUGGCUAUUGUAAACAAUACUGCAAUAAACAAACAAUAAACAAAGGAUCCCUUUGUAAACAAUGCUGCAAUAAACAAAAGGAUCCCCAUUUGUUUUCACUCGGUAAAUGUCCAGAUUAUAUGGAUCAUAUGGUAUUUCUAUUUUUAAGUUUGUGAGGAACCUCCAUAUUGUUUUCCACAGUGGAUUCACCAUUUACAUUUCCACCUACAGUGAUUAAGGAUUCCUUCCUUCACCACCUCACCCAUACUUGUUACUGUCUUUUUGAUGGUAACCAUUCUGACUGGUGGAAGGUGGUAUCUCAUUUUAUAUCACCACCCUGUCAUACAUCUGUUUCCCAAAUGUAGAACAAAAAUUAAGUAUAACAAAAAUUUCCCAAAAGAACAUUCAGCCCUAUCUACUAGACGCAAUGGAAGCUACGUUCAUUGAUAUUUUGGAUGUAUUUGCCAAGGCAGUAGACUGGCUUACAACCAGAGUCUUGAAAUGCAAUCUGUAAAUCACCAUUCUACAGCGAUGUUUACCAGUUGCAAGUGGAGAGAUCAGCAAUCAGUCUUAUUCAGAAAUGAAGGUGAACACAGGGUAGACAUCGGAAAGUCCAAGAAAGAAGGAACUCAGUAGUGCCAGCAAGUAUGUAACUGAGGCUCCUGACUGUAGGGAAGGAGGCACAUAUAAAAGAAAUGGGAGUGUGCAUUAAGAGGGUGUGAGGCAUUAAAACCGUGAUAAAAGAUUUGCAUUUGGAGUUAUAGAAACCGGGUGUAAAUCCCAGCUCUGUCUGUGUCUGAACUGGGCAGGAGAGGGUUGUUGGAUGGUGCAUUAGAUAGUUUGCAAAGAGCUUCGACCAGUCCCUGGCAUAUAGGAAGCAGUGAUUAAUUAAAUGCUAGUGGCUGUUAAGCUGCGAUAUCAGAAAAGAAGAGUAGCCUGCAUGGGUAGAAGACAAUAGGAAGAGUAACCUACCAAGAUGUCAGAAAGGGAAAGUGGUGGAUUUCAGCUCUACAAGCUGGAAAUUCUUGGAAGCUUGAAAGCUGGGUCUAACCAGUCACCGAUGCAAUAGAGAGCAGUUGAAGGUCAAUAGGGUUAAGAAAGUUGAGGCUCCGAGAUGAAGCUGGGCAAACAGCAUAGAUGUUACACAAACCAUCAAGGGAGGCGCCACGUGGAGGGGUAGCUGGGAGCCAGUCCUCAAGUAGCCAAAGAAAAAGUAGAAGAAUGUCCUGGAGACAGGUCAAUGAUGGCAAGGAGCUUAGGAGGAGAAUAGAUUAAAAAAAAAAAAAAAAAAAAAA
Acinonyx jubatus (cheetah) is the source of this 22579-nucleotide long non-coding RNA. RefSeq lists it as uncharacterized. NCBI's taxonomy places the organism in Eukaryota, Metazoa, Chordata, Mammalia, Carnivora, Felidae. The record is from RefSeq and is a predicted model, not a curated record. The transcript has 2 exons.